UGUCGGCGUAGAGCAGCCCGGUAGCUCGCGUGGCUCAUAACCACGAGGUCGCAAGUUCGAAUCUUGCCGCCGCAACCA
RNAcentral lists this transfer RNA (78 nucleotides) under Ensifer meliloti. Its description in RNAcentral is "Sinorhizobium meliloti tRNA-Met". It matches the Rfam family "tRNA". Rfam says of the family: Transfer RNA (tRNA) molecules are approximately 80 nucleotides in length. Their secondary structure includes four short double-helical elements and three loops (D, anti-codon, and T loops). The record is from RNAcentral. Lineage: Bacteria; Pseudomonadati; Pseudomonadota; Alphaproteobacteria; Hyphomicrobiales; Rhizobiaceae.